Molecule: ribosomal RNA, 459 nt
Filed under: uncultured bacterium
Lineage: Bacteria
Description: partial 16S ribosomal RNA
Rfam family: Bacterial small subunit ribosomal RNA
Source: RNAcentral
CCUACGGGGGGCAGCAGUGAGGAAUAUUGGUCAAUGGCCGAGAGGCUGAACCAGCCAAGUCGCGUGAGGGAAGACGGCCCUACGGGUUGUAAACCUCUUUUGUCGGGGAGCAAAGCGAACCACGUGUGGUUCAUUGAGAGUACCCGAAGAAAAAGCAUCGGCUAACUCCGUGCCAGCAGCCGCGGUAAUACGGAGGAUGCGAGCGUUAUCCGGAUUUAUUGGGUUUAAAGGGUGCGCAGGCGGAGGUGCAAGUCAGCGGUCAAAUUGCGGGGCUCAACCCCGUACUGCCGUUGAAACUGCAUCCCUUGAGUGCGCGAGAAGUAGGCGGAAUGCGUGGUGUAGCGGUGAAAUGCAUAGAUAUCACGCAGAACUCCGAUUGCGAAGGCAGCAUACCGGCGCCCGACUGACGCUGAGGCACGAAAGCGUGGGGAUCGAACAGGAUUAGAUACCCGUGUAGUC